This is a long non-coding RNA of Anopheles coustani, 341 nucleotides long. RefSeq lists it as uncharacterized. Lineage: Eukaryota; Metazoa; Arthropoda; Insecta; Diptera; Culicidae. The transcript has 2 exons. The record is from RefSeq and is a predicted model, not a curated record.
AAGUUAUCGGUGAAGCUCGAACAAGCUUCGAAGUUUAAAAAUAAAGUGUUUCUCCUAUCCGAGAUAAAUCAUAUUACAUGGCGACCGUGACGUGGAGCCUGAAUCUAAAAAAUUGAAGUGAGUGAGCGUAAUAGGAGUGAGUGCCAUAACGAUCAUAGAAACAAAAAAAAAAAAAGGACAGCUACAGUCCAGCAAAAGUGAGAGAUUUAAUCGUGAGUUGGAUUAUUACUUCGGACACCAACAAAUACCGCCUUACCGCGGGACAGCAGUCACCGCCGUAGCGGAACAGUGAAACAAAAAAUAAUAAAAAAAAAAAAAAAGGACAACAUCGUAGCGGCGAA